AGUAAAUAGAUACCCGGGUAGUCCACGCCGUAAACGAUGUCGACUUGGAGGUUGUGCCCUUGAGGCGUGGCUUCCGGAGCUAAACGCGUUAAAGUCGACCGCCUGGGGAGUACGGCCGCAAGGUUAAAACUCAAAUGAAUUGACGGGGGCCCGCACAAGCGGUGGAGCAUGUGGUUUAAUUCGAUGCAACGCGAAGAACCUUACCUACUCUUGACAUCCAGAGAACUUUCCAGAGAUGGAUUGGUGCCUUCGGGAACUCUGAGACAGGUGCUGCAUGGCUGUCGUCAGCUCGUGUUGUGAAAUGUUGGGUUAAGUCCCGCAACGAGCGCAACCCUUAUCCUUUGUUGCCAGCGGUUAGGCCGGGAACUCAAAGGAGACUGCCAGUGAUAAACUGGAGGAAGUGGGGAUGACGUCAAGUCAUCAUGGCCCUUACGAGUAGGGCUACACACGUGCUACAAUGGCGCAUACAAAGAGAAGCGACCUCGCGAGAGCAAGCGGACCUCAUAAAAGUGCGUCGUAGUCCGGAUUGGAGUCUGC
Molecule: ribosomal RNA, 537 nt
Filed under: uncultured bacterium
Lineage: Bacteria
Description: bacterial SSU rRNA
Rfam family: Bacterial small subunit ribosomal RNA
Source: RNAcentral